CCAAAUAAUUAAUCAAUCACUUUUCGUUAUCACAAAGAUACGGCAGUUGUUUUAUUUUUUUUUUAUUUGUGGUUGAAUUGGCCCGAAAAAUAAAUGAGGCAUAAUUUUUCAAGAAAUAGAAGUGUUCCUUUUCAAUACCUGCGCAAAAUCCCAUAUAUAUGUAUAUAAUACAAAAGUAUCUUUUUUCUAACGUUGGGGAAAAAAAUUUAAAAAUAGGCGAUUAAUUAAUUAAUUAUAUUAUAAUGCCCACGACCCUGUUGAAUAUGUUAUAUCUAAAAUUACGAUAAUAAAAAUAAAUCUAUUUGAAUGCAAACAACGUAUCUUACGAAUACAGUUUAGUUAUUAGUGAGUACAGAAGUGUUUUGCGGUCUUGAAAUGCUACAGCUCAAUUUAUUAUUAGAGGUGAUAACAUGACACUUGAAAAGGACUUAAAUUUGGAUGUAGAGAAGGAACGAAAAGUAAGACUGUGCGUUGAAAAUUACUAUUUGGCGAUAUUUUCUUCAGAGAACGUUCGGGGUUGUCCUAAUAAAUUCGACGAGCACACUCUUCUUGUGAAAAUAAGAGCCGAUAAAGAUGAUCUAAGUCUAGUUUACAUUUAUGGUAUAAAAUCGGGACUGUAUUUGACCAUGGUUGGCGAAAAAGGACACGUUAAGGGUGUGAUUUUGAAAAGAUUUGAAACCCAGACCCGUAGCCACAAAUUUUAGGGGGUGGGAGGUGGGUGAAGGCUGAAUAGUAAAAAAUCAAACAAGGCUUCAAGUCAAAAACAUUUAAAAGCAGUUUAAUAAUUACAUUUGUGGCAUUUAAAAUGAGUAGUGAUGUGCAAAAUUGGUUUUGGUCUUGCAGUUUUCGUUUUGUGAAAAUGCAAAGCCAGGGCGAAAAUUUGAAGUUUUUGAACAAGACCAGGGCCAAAUUAAAUGAUGUUGUGAUAAUGAAGAUAAAUACAAUAUGGUUUAUGUAUAACGAUACACUAUUUUAGUGCAAUUAGAUGACAUUUUAACAGCAACAUAAUAUGGGGAUCUCAUUUAGGGCUUGCUCGAUUCCUAGACUUUCAAACCCUCUGGAUUAUUAUCAUUGGGGGGCCAUCCGAGAAU
RNA transcript from Agrilus planipennis (emerald ash borer), 1091 nucleotides. RefSeq lists it as uncharacterized. The record is from RefSeq and is a predicted model, not a curated record. Lineage: Eukaryota; Metazoa; Arthropoda; Insecta; Coleoptera; Buprestidae. The transcript has 5 exons.